Molecule: ribosomal RNA, 496 nt
Filed under: uncultured bacterium
Lineage: Bacteria
Description: partial 16S ribosomal RNA
Rfam family: Bacterial small subunit ribosomal RNA
Source: RNAcentral
GAUGAACGCUGGCGGCGUGCCUAAUACAUGCAAGUCGAGCGAACAGAUGAGGAGCUUGCUCCUCUGACGUUAGCGGCGGACGGGUGAGUAACACGUGGAUAACCUACCUAUAAGACUGGGAUAACUUCGGGAAACCGGAGCUAAUACCGGAUAAUAUAUUGAACCGCAUGGUUCAAUAGUGAAAGACGGUUUUGCUGUCACUUAUAGAUGGAUCCGCGCCGCAUUAGCUAGUUGGUAAGUAACGGCUUACCAAGGCAACGAUGCGUAGCCGACCUGAGAGGGUGAUCGGCCACACUGGAACUGAGACACGGUCCAGACUCCUACGGGAGGCAGCAGUAGGGAAUCUUCCGCAAUGGGCGAAAGCCUGACGGAGCAACGCCGCGUGAGUGAUGAAGGUCUUCGGAUCGUAAAACUCUGUUAUUAGGGAAGAACAAAUGUGUAAGUAACUAUGCACGUCUUGACGGUACCUAAUCAGAAAGCCACGGCUAACUACGUG